GAUGCAGCGACGCCGCGUGAGGGAUGACGGCCUUCGGGUUGUAAACCUCUUUCAGUAGGGAAGAAGCGAAAGUGACGGUACCUGCAGAAGAAGCGCCGGCUAACUACGUGCCAGCAGCCGCGGUAAUACGUAGGGCGCAAGCGUUAUCCGGAAUUAUUGGGCGUAAAGAGCUCGUAGGCGGUUUGUCGCGUCUGCCGUGAAAGUCCGGGGCUCAACUCCGGAUCUGCGGUGGGUACGGGCAGACUAGAGUGAUGUAGGGGAGACUGGAAUUCCUGGUGUAGCGGUGAAAUGCGCAGAUAUCAGGAGGAACACCGAUGGCGAAGGCAGGUCUCUGGGCAUUAACUGACGCUGAGGAGCGAAAGCAUGGGGAGCGAACAGGAUUAG
Molecule: ribosomal RNA, 384 nt
Filed under: Arthrobacter sp. 8.16-VSa
Lineage: Bacteria; Bacillati; Actinomycetota; Actinomycetes; Micrococcales; Micrococcaceae
Description: bacterial SSU rRNA
Rfam family: Bacterial small subunit ribosomal RNA
Source: RNAcentral